RNAcentral lists this long non-coding RNA (318 nucleotides) under Gossypium raimondii (Peruvian cotton). RNAcentral's name for it is "long non-coding RNA (GRAI_LNC002363)". Lineage: Eukaryota; Viridiplantae; Streptophyta; Magnoliopsida; Malvales; Malvaceae. The record is from RNAcentral.
GAAUAUAUAUUAUCUAUUAACAUUGUAAAUGCCCAAAUUUGCUUGGGCUCAUAAAAAAAUAAUCUAAGAAAUAGAAUAAAAAAUAAUAAGUCCAAAAAAUUUACAAGCCCAAAAGAAAAACAAAAUACAAAAUCCUAGCGCAAAAGUUAUAAGCUCACAACCUAAACUAAUUCAGAAACCCUAAGUUCCCCAUGUGCGCCGCACCCCUCCCCUCGAUCACGCCUCUCGCGCCUCGUCCCGAGGCCUGACCCCUCCUCUACUGCCUUGCACCAAAACGGCAAAGGCGCCUCUUCAUCGCCUCCGUCAACACCUGCAAAC